CAGGUAGGGUUUCCUCCGCUGGAGACACAGCACAUUCUGACUCACCUAGAGAAUCAUGGCAUCUCGAGGCUACAAGAGACUUUACGGGGGUCAUCUGACCCGCUGCCAACUGGAAAGUGGAGUUUGGUACGGCAGAUGUCUCCAACUUCAGAAGAGAAACUGAGGUACAGAGAGUUUAAGCAACGUGCUCACAAGUCAUUUAGGUGCUGCGCUAGCUUUGAGGAGGGACGUCAUUUCCGUUGUUCGAGACCACCCUGCUUCCCACCCAACACCCCGCUAAAGCUGCCCUCACCAGAGUUACCAGGAACCUCAAUGUGGAUCAGCCCCAGAGACACCUUCCUAGACCUCACGGCCCGUUAGAUGCCUUUGCCAAGUCAAGAUCAUCUCCCUUCUUUGGGAUGGCUGGAAAGAACCCCAGGGCCCCAGGAUCAGACGUGGAGACGUGGAGGGGCUUACCGCCAGCCACCCCUCUGCUUGGCUCCCUGGAGGGGAGUGGGGAGGGCCCCUUCCCCUCAUCUCUGCUGAUUGAACCAAGUUCAUGUUCAGAAUGUAUAUAAAGUUAUUUGGGCCAAAUUUCCAUGUUAACUGUUCAGAACAGAAAUGCUCAGUGUCAGUUAAAUUUGGUUAGAUUACAAGACAACACAGUCAAGAUCAAGAACAUGUGGCCUGAUUUGAUUUAACCCAGAGAAGAAAUGCCUUUUUCCUUCUGCUCAGCUAUAACAUUAUACAUAUAAAGAUACAUACGUGCUUGCUCUCUGCCAGAAAUGUCAACUGCUUUUGAUCUCUCCCUUUAGAUAUUAAAGUUUCCCCUGCUCACCCCUCUGGUUGGCGGGCCCCUUAAGGGCUUUCAAACCAGUAAACAAGCCUGGAGCUGUUGAGAGGGCGGAAGCUGUUUGCCUUUUGAGCUGGAGCCCCGUAGCCCAAAGGUCGUGUUUAAUCAGCCUCAAGGUUUUGGUUAACACUGACUUGGAGUUUAAAAUAGCAUUUCAAUAACCUCGGCCUCCUCCCGCUCCCCCAUCAGCCAGGGGAGGAGGGAGACAGGGGCCCAUGGCUUUCGAAGGGUUUGUGUGUUUGUUGUUAAGGUUCUGAAGCGAACGAGCCGCGCUUGGCUGGUGGCCGUGAUGGAGAGCUGCCCUCCUGGGCCACCUCGGGCAGGGCCCUGGCCAGGACCAGGUCCUGAGUGCUCCCCAGUAAGGGGACUUGCUGUAGCAGAGUGCUGGCUGGGGUUUGCAUUUCCUUCUUCUCUUCUGCUUGGACUCUAAAGGUAGGUCAUGCUCUUUAGAAGACAGCAUGCCCCCCCCCCCCGGUGUAAGUUCUCAAUUACGCCCUCAAAACUGGGUGAAGGGGGAGAGUAGAGGCAUCACAGCCUUCCCCACAAGCUGCUUAUGAAACUCACCCAACGCCGGAGAUGGCAUAAAGCCCUCGCUGCUCUCCCUGCCCUGGGAAGGGAAAUCCACAAGCCUCCUGGGAUGGGGGUCAGGCUGCUUUUGCUCCCUCUGCUUUUCGUCCCUUUUCCCCUCUACCCCUUCCUUCUGUGGCAUCCUGGUCCUGCCAUGCUGGCAUCUGCCCUGGGAACCUGGCGGUAGACAAGCUCCCAUCUAAGACAGAUGGCUUUGCCUCCUCUUUAACAGAGCCUGCCUAUGAAAGCGUUCUUUCAAUGCGUCACUAUACUUAGAAAUAGCCUCCCGGGGCGCCCGGGUGGCUCAGUUGGUUAAGCGUCUGAUGUCGGCUCAGGUCACGAUCUCACAGUCUGUGAGUUCGAGC
Long non-coding RNA from Felis catus (domestic cat), 1764 nucleotides. RefSeq lists it as uncharacterized. Lineage: Eukaryota; Metazoa; Chordata; Mammalia; Carnivora; Felidae. The transcript is spliced from 3 exons. The record is from RefSeq and is a predicted model, not a curated record.